Molecule: ribosomal RNA, 327 nt
Filed under: Pachydactylus capensis
Lineage: Eukaryota; Metazoa; Chordata; Lepidosauria; Squamata; Gekkonidae
Description: partial 12S ribosomal RNA
Rfam family: Bacterial small subunit ribosomal RNA
Source: RNAcentral
GUCCGCCAGAGAAUUACAAGCAGUUCGCUUCAAACCCAAAGGAUUUGACGGUGUCCCACAUCAACCUAGAGGAGCCUGUCCUAUAAUCGAUACCCCACGUUUUACCUCACCCCCUCUUGCAACAGCCUAUAUACCGCCGUCUACAGCUGGCCUGAUGACAGUUUUAGCCAGCAACAUAGCACACACAAAUACGUCAGGUCAAGGUGUAGCUUAUGGGGGGGUUAGAGAUGGGCUACAUUUCCAAAAACAGGAAUUACCAAACACAACAUGAAAAUUAGCCCAAAGGCGGAUUUAGCAGUAAGACCGGACAAGAUAUGCCAGCCUGAA